Molecule: unclassified non-coding RNA, 272 nt
Filed under: plant metagenome
Description: partial contains small subunit ribosomal RNA, internal transcribed spacer 1, and 5.8S ribosomal RNA
Source: RNAcentral
UUUCCGUAGGUGAACCUGCGGAAGGAUCAUUAAUGAGUUGUCAUGGGGUUCGAUGCUGGCAGCCAGUUUUUGGAUGCAUGUGCUUGCCCUAACAAUCAUCUUCUUCCAAACACCUGUGUACAUUUUUGAGGGAGUCUUGAGUUGGUUGCCGCUCUUGGGUGAUUUUCUCACAUUCCCUUAAAUCAUUAUACGCUAUUAACAAUGUUGAACGUGCUCUGUGCCGCAAGGCCAUUAAUAUAAUACAACUUUUAACAACGGAUCUCUUGGCUCUC